GGAGACAUGGCGUAAUGGUAUCGCAGGAGAUUGCUAAUCUCUCCAAGAAUUUGUUAUUCUUGUCCGAGCUCAAUUCUCGGUGUCUCCGCCA
Molecule: transfer RNA, 91 nt
Filed under: Caudoviricetes sp.
Lineage: Duplodnaviria; Heunggongvirae; Uroviricota; Caudoviricetes
Description: tRNA-Ser
Rfam family: tRNA
About the family: Transfer RNA (tRNA) molecules are approximately 80 nucleotides in length. Their secondary structure includes four short double-helical elements and three loops (D, anti-codon, and T loops).
Source: RNAcentral